Molecule: long non-coding RNA, 1849 nt
Organism: Pogona vitticeps (central bearded dragon)
Lineage: Eukaryota; Metazoa; Chordata; Lepidosauria; Squamata; Agamidae
Source: Ensembl
UUCCCCACUUUAACUUUAAAAAUUGUUUAUGUAUGUAGGUAUUUUAAGAUGUAUUUCUCUUACAGGCCACUUUCUGGAAGAAAGGGCCAAAGCAUCUGAAUGCCUGACAUCCAAGAAAGAGGAACAUGCAAGCGUUUCGGGUGGGGGGGGGGAGGUGUGCUGUGUUCACGUAAUACAAAACCGUAUUUUUAUGUAUGUUUGAAUGCCCCUUCAUGAAGGCAUGAAGGAAUUCAGUGUACGGCUGCUCUACUUAGUGCUCUAUGUAUGGAUUUAUUCCACUGAAAAAUAUUAGUCUGGAGUGCUGUGAGGUGAAUUGAAAGCCCUAUCUGUGGGGUCAGACCAGUGAUAAACCAAUAUCACAUGGGAAGCAUCACAAAGCUGUACUUUAUCAAGGGAUGUCAACAAGCAUGAAUGAGCCAGCCUUUUAUAAAUACAGUACUGUCAACUGAAGCAGCAUUAUGAAAGGUGAACGCAUACAAAAACUGUUCCCUUUACAUUAUAAAAUAAAACAGUAAUCUAAUAGAUUGUUUAAUCACCAAAGGACAGCUGGGGUUAUUUAUACAACACCAAAUGCUCUUACCUGUAUUUUACCUCUGCUAAAUAUUAUAAACCCUGUUUUUAUUGCCACAAUCAUAAUAAAGUGUACUUCUGUUUUUUUUAAAAAAACAAAUGCAACUGUUAUUUUUUUCAGAAAAAGAAAAAGAAACUGGUAACAAUUUCCACGACUCUCAAUACGCUUACUCUAAAACCAUCUCACACAAAGACAUUUAUACCUCCUAUAAAAAGUGUUUGAAAAUAAAUGACAUGAACACAUAGCUCAGUUAUUUAUUCUCUUCCUUUUCUGGGACAAAUAAAAUCCACUUUCACCUGUAUCAUCGCUGGGAUGCUAAGUACCAAUUAAUCUGGCAUGAAGAUUAGCAUUACCAAAACACAUCCACACAGAAAAAUAAUAAUAAUAAGGAAUAUUGUGAUAGAAGUGGAAUCCCUCCAUAUGGCACAGUCCCAAUGGAACAUAAUCACCUGCGGCCAUUUUGAGCCAAUAGAACCCUUGCCCAGAUAUGCUGUACUGAAAGUUCCACUGAGGCUUGUUUUGUAUUUCAAAGGAUCAGCACUAAAAGACUUCUCCCAGGCUCAGGAAUGGCCAGCUUGUUUCUUGGAUCACAACUCUCAGUACCCCCCAACCAGGAGAGUCAGAGUUCAGGUUCUAAAUACAAAUUUUUCCCAACCUCUGCAUUCAUUCAGUCUGAAUUUUUCUCUGCUGAUACCAUUCUUCCCCAUACCAGAAUGGAGACGCAGACAUCCCUCUCAUUCCAAAUCAAGGUGAGAGAACACCUUGAAGCAGUGUUUGGCUGUCUCUUUGCUUCUCCUCUUCUCUUACAGCUGCCUAUCCCUGCAUAGUGGCAUCAGCAUCUCCCCAUCCUGGAUUUGCCCAGGCUCCAAAGGUCUGCUACUGACGCCUACUCAAGGUUUCCCUUAUAAAUCCCCCACACCUCCAUCUUCUGAGCAGCACCAGGUGUCUUGAGUAUGGCAUUAUUUUUAAUGUUCCCCAGUGCCCAUAAUGUGGCGUUGCACUGAGACACUGAGGAAAAUUGGAUCCAUUACCUUUGGCCACCCUGUGCUACUUGCUGGCUGCCACUUCCGGCCAGCUGCUUGACAGUGUGCUUUACCUAGGACUCAGCCCAAACCUUGAGUUGCCCCUGCCACUUGACAUUUUGGGAGGGGGGCACUGGAAUUUGGCUUCUGGGUUCACAAAGUUGGCUAUUCUACAACUUCAGUCAUUCUAAUCAUAAUUCACACACUCUGCACAGAAUCAGGUGUGUGUCAAUAAACAGGGUGAUAAUGGAUCCCA